Molecule: transfer RNA, 71 nt
Filed under: Marmota monax (woodchuck)
Lineage: Eukaryota; Metazoa; Chordata; Mammalia; Rodentia; Sciuridae
Description: tRNA.Thr
Rfam family: tRNA
About the family: Transfer RNA (tRNA) molecules are approximately 80 nucleotides in length. Their secondary structure includes four short double-helical elements and three loops (D, anti-codon, and T loops).
Source: RNAcentral
GGGGUUGUGGCUCAGUGGUAGAGCUCUCGCCUAGUGUGUGUGAGUCCCUGGGUUCAAUCCUCAGCACCACA